AGUCUCAUUUCGUUCUUUGUUUUAUUCAGUGACAGACACCAGUAUCCAUCUGGGAGGAAGGAGAUGACACAGAUGAGCAGGAGCUGUUCCCAAAGCCCCUCAGAACCCACCUCUCCACCUCCCACUGCCCUCUGUGGUCACUGAGGGGGGAAUCUAGCAAAAGGUGCCUCUUCUCGAACAGUUUCCUGGAAAAAAAAAAAGAGGUAUUCAGGUCAUAGCUGCAUCCUUGGGGUGAGGGGAAGGCAGAGAGAACUGUUUGGGGGGUUCCUUGGAGCCAUCAAUGCCCUAGGUCAGCCAGUCUCAACCUGCCCCUCUGGCACUUCCCCCAGGAUGAGCUGGUGAUGGUAGGGUAGGGCAAAAUGUGGGGAAGGAAGGAGGGCAAAAACAAAAGGCAGAGAAGAGACAAGGAAGGGAAGAGGAAGAAGCAGAGAGAACAGGAGGGGGGCAGAGAAAGUAAUAGGAAGACAGAAGAGGGAAAGAAAGGAAGGAAAGAAUGAGAGAGGGAAGGAAAGAGGGAGAGAGAAAGGAAGAGGGAGAGAAGGUAGACUAAAAACAGAGGGAAGGUGAGAAAGGAGAUGAAGAAAGGGAGGCAGGAAGGCUCAGCAGGCAGGAAUCAGGGUGAUCUUUCCUCAGAGGCACAGACCAUGGGCACCUCAUCCAUCUUCUGAAAGCUUCUCAUGUCCUUCUGGCAGCAUUUCACAGCUACCACCACGGAGCCCAGGACCAGAAUGGAUACGAGCAGGCAGACCACAAUGACCACACCAGGAUUACGCUGGUUCACUCCUGGUGGGAUUGGGGAGCUCUGGCAUGGCUCCCCAGAAUACCUUGCUCACAGACCUCUAGAGACCCAGCCUGGCCAAGUGAAGAAUGGGUUCAUUUUGGAAAAGAGGAAACUAUGGUCUAAAGAGGGGAUGUGACUUCCCCAAUAUCACUGAAUGAGUUAUUUGCUGAACUGGGAUUAGAACCCAGUUUUCCUAGCCCCUCAAAUUCAGAGCUUUCUCCAUUGGACUACAUGGUAUCACCCCCAAUUUCCCCCAACUCUCCUAAGUGAUUAUGAAUAUAUCUAUUAUCCAUUAAGAUCUAAAAUGUUUUUAAUAACUGCUUCCAAUAAUAAUAAUAAAAAUAGCUAACCUAUGUGCCA
Molecule: long non-coding RNA, 1141 nt
Filed under: Monodelphis domestica (gray short-tailed opossum)
Lineage: Eukaryota; Metazoa; Chordata; Mammalia; Didelphimorphia; Didelphidae
Description: lncRNA (ENSMODG00000042328.1)
Source: RNAcentral